UACGUAGGGUGCAAGCGUUGUCCGGAAUUAUUGGGCGUAAAGAGCUCGUAGGCGGUCUGUCGCGUCUGCUGUGAAAACUCAGGGCUUAACCCUGAGCUUGCAGUGGGUACGGGCAGACUAGAGUGCGGUAGGGGAGACUGGAAUUCCUGGUGUAGCGGUGAAAUGCGCAGAUAUCAGGAGGAACACCGGUGGCGAAGGCGGGGUCUCUGGGCCGUAAACUG
This 221-nucleotide ribosomal RNA is filed under the name uncultured bacterium. Its description in RNAcentral is "partial 16S ribosomal RNA". It matches the Rfam family "Bacterial small subunit ribosomal RNA", at positions 524 to 742 of the family's 1533-position model. The record is from RNAcentral.